CAUAUAUAAGUUUUUUAAGUUCCAUUUUUAGUGGUGUUUAUAAAUAUAAGAAGAUUUGGUAUGAUUGCAUGUUGUAUGAUUGCCUAAUUCAUUGAGACAACUCUCCACAAGAGACCAAAUGACACAGAAAUUAACAACUAUAUGUCACUCACAGUACAGCCUUCAACAGUGAGCAAAACGCAUACCACAUAGCCAUCAAUUAAAGGCCCGGAUAUGACAAAUGUCAAACAAAACAAAUGAGAAUGUAUGUACAAUGUAAUGAAUGAAAACCAAAUAUGUUACACAGUAACAAACAACAACCACUGCAUUACAGGCUCCUGACAAUAAGAUUUUUAAGAAUGAUUUUUUGGCGGAAUAUAUGUAUAUUUUGUUUAUGGAUUGAAUUUAAAUAAAAAAUUAGAAAAGAAUGGCAUGCAGUUAAGAAUGUUACCUUGUCAGAUUUAGGGAUCUAAUAGUUAAUCUGUAAAAUCUUCUCAAUGACAUUAAAAGCCAUUUAUUAAGACAGAUAUUUUUUUAUGUUAAAACUGCUCACUUGCCUAAAAGAAAAAAAAAGGGUGGAUAAAUGAUUGCCUUCUCAAUGAGACAGUUAUCAAUAAACCAAAAAGAAAAAUGACUUACAAAUAUCAAGAGGAGUUGAGUUUUCAUGGAAGUUUUAGCUGCAAGGAUAGUCAAAAUCCUGGUAAUUUAAGUUUGUACUACAUGUAUAUUGUAUUCCAUGUCAAGAGGGGGUGGACAGGAUUAUGGAAACAUUGGAAUUAGGGGAUGGGAAGUGGGAGUCAGGCAAGGGAAGUAGGAGACAGUUUGAACUAGGGUAGAGCCGGAGUAAAAAUUGAGAUAUUUUGGGAAUUUUUAUGCCCCACCUACGAUAGUAGAGGGGCAUUAUGUUUUCUGGUCUGUGGUUCUGUUCGUUCGUCGGUCUGUUAGUUCGUCGGUCUGUUCGUUUGUUCGUCCCGCUUCAGGUUAAAGUUUUUGGUCAAAGUAGUUUUUGAUGAAGUUGAAGUCCAAUCAACUUGAAACUUAGUACACAUGUUUCCUAUGAUAUGAUCUUUCUAACUUUAAAUGCCAAAUUAGAGUUUUUCUCCCAAAUUCAGGGUCCACUGAACAUGGAAAAUGAUAGUGCAAGUGGGGCAUCCAUGUACUUUGGACACAUUCUUGUUAUUAACUGAUUUUCAUGGUCUGGGAGUAAGGAUGACCACUAUUUGAUAACUUCAAAUUACUGCCG
RNAcentral lists this long non-coding RNA (1222 nucleotides) under Mytilus galloprovincialis (Mediterranean mussel). Lineage: Eukaryota; Metazoa; Mollusca; Bivalvia; Mytilida; Mytilidae. The record is from RNAcentral.